UACGUAGGGCGCAAGCGUUAUCCGGAAUUAUUGGGCGUAAAGAGCUCGUAGGCGGUUUGUCGCGUCUGCCGUGAAAGUCCGGGGCUCAACUCCGGAUCUGCGGUGGGUACGGGCAGACUAGAGUGCUGUAGGGGAGACUGGAAUUCCUGGUGUAGCGGUGAAAUGCGCAGAUAUCGGGAGGAACACCGGUGGCGAAGGCGGCGACCUGGGUAGAUACUGACGCUGAGGUGCGAAAGCGUGGGGAGCAAACAGG
This 253-nucleotide ribosomal RNA is filed under the name uncultured bacterium. Its description in RNAcentral is "partial 16S ribosomal RNA". It matches the Rfam family "Bacterial small subunit ribosomal RNA", at positions 524 to 776 of the family's 1533-position model. The record is from RNAcentral.